UAGGCGGGGUCCGAAAAGCCGAGAAAAGAGUAGGAA
This 36-nucleotide non-coding RNA is filed under the name unclassified sequences. Its description in RNAcentral is "DUF805b RNA". It matches the Rfam family "DUF805b RNA". From Rfam's summary of the family: Bacteroidetes, Chlorobi (1 example), Proteobacteria. Lineage (Flavobacteria) The record is from RNAcentral.